RNAcentral lists this ribosomal RNA (700 nucleotides) under uncultured bacterium. RNAcentral describes it as "bacterial SSU rRNA". It matches the Rfam family "Bacterial small subunit ribosomal RNA", at positions 59 to 742 of the family's 1533-position model. The record is from RNAcentral.
CAGUCGAGCGAAAGAUGAGGAGCUUGCUCCUUUGACGUUAGCGGCGGACGUGUGAGUAACACGUGGGUAACCUACCUAUAAGACUGGGACAACUUCGGGAAACCGGAGCUAAUACCGGAUAAUAUGUUGAACCGCAUGGUUCAAUAGUGAAAGAUGGUUUUGCUAUCACUUAUAGAUGGACCCGCGCCGUAUUAGCUAGUUGGUGAGGUAACGGCUCACCAAGGCAACGAUACGUAGCCGACCUGAGAGGGUGAUCGGCCACACUGGAACUGAGACACGGUCCAGACUCCUACGGGAGGCAGCAGUAGGGAAUCUUCCGCAAUGGGCGAAAGCCUGACGGAGCAACGUCGCGUGAGUGAUGAAGGUCUUAGGAUCGUAAAACUCUGUUAUUAGGGAAGAACAAACGUGUAAGUAACUGUGCACGUCUUGACGGUACCUAAUCAGAAAGCCACGGCUAACUACGUGCCAGCAGCCGCGGUAAUACGUAGGUGGCAAGCGUUAUCCGGAAUUAUUGGGCGUAAAGCGCGCGUAGGCGGUUUUUUAAGUCUGAUGUGAAAGCCCACGGCUCAACCGUGGAGGGUCAUUGGAAACUGGAAAACUUGAGUGCAGAAGAGGAAAGUGGAAUUCCAUGUGUAGCGGUGAAAUGCGCAGAGAUAUGGAGGAACACCAGUGGCGAAGGCGACUUUCUGGUCUGUAACUG